UUUUUUCCAUUCACAGAGCAUGCGCAGUAAAAACAAAUGUAUUGCUAUUGGGAGCUGGACCACUUUUACAGCUGGGCCGCCCAGUCGGAAAUAAAAAUAAAAUCAACAUGGCACCAUGCAAUCUGGCGCAAACCACCAACGACUAAAGAUUGAAGUGUACAUAGUAUCUUGAUUUUUCUUUAGUAUGGCCAAACAAGUUACCCACCAAUUAGCCUCAGAGCUUAAAAUUGUUUUUUUUAGAAAUCUAUGUGGGGGUUGACCUCAGCCUCUUGUUCGGGGCCUAAACAUUCUUUCAGUUAACAUGUCAUUACUUUAAAUCUUGACUGAAUGGAGUGUUAGCCAUGUUGUUAUUUUAUUAGAAAUAUGUGCUCUCUAAUUGAUCUUCCCUAUGCACUAUCACAAUUACAUUUUCCUUGAAUCCAUUUUAUAACAUCGUUAUUUUUCUAAUAUUCCUAAAUGGGGUUUAAAUUCUUAUUUGUGCU
Molecule: long non-coding RNA, 482 nt
Organism: Carassius auratus (goldfish)
Lineage: Eukaryota; Metazoa; Chordata; Actinopteri; Cypriniformes; Cyprinidae
Exons: 2
Source: RefSeq, a predicted model, not a curated record